This is an RNA transcript of Arachis stenosperma, 2315 nucleotides long. It is a transcript of the gene named U11/U12 small nuclear ribonucleoprotein 65 kDa protein, with no coding region annotated. Lineage: Eukaryota; Viridiplantae; Streptophyta; Magnoliopsida; Fabales; Fabaceae. The record is from RefSeq and is a predicted model, not a curated record. The transcript is spliced from 11 exons.
AAAGGUCUACACUUGGGUCGCCUUGCAUAUUUAAAAUAAUCAAGCCUUGCUCCGUUCUCUCUCGAUCACUACUCCGCUGGGUCCGUUCAACUCCUGCGCCGCCUCCAUUCUCCAUUUGAAGCUGGUAAUGCCCACUUAAACAUUUCUGGGUAGCCACAUGUAUCACUCUGCAGAUUCAAAGCCUCCAGCUAUGGAUUCACCAGUGACCCUUUUGAUUAAGCACCUUCCCGAAGCUAUACCUCAUGACACCCUUUCUCGCCUCUUAUCUCAUUAUGGUGCUUCCUCUCUUCGUCCUUGCUCUACUGGAAGGUUGAGGAAUUGUGCUUUCGUAGAUUUCAAAAAUGAAAUCUUGGCAUCUCAAGCACAACGUCAACUACAUGGGUUGAGGCUUCUUGGUAAAGUAUUGUCAGCAGAGAAAGCUAAUAAUCCAAUGGAAAGUGGCAAAAAAGGCAGUGUAGCUCAGCUGGGAAAGGACUCUAAAGCGUCUGUGGUUAAAGAUACAACUGUAACCAAAGCUAUUGAUGGAGAUACAAAAUCAGGAUGUUUCCCUGUUGCUGAGCCAAUUGCUGAAAGACUUGGUGUUGACUAUCCAUUUCCACCUCACCUUGAGUAUGCUUAUCCUCCGCCGGAUGGAAAUAUAUUGACCAACAUUGUUAAUGCUCUGAUUGCUGUUCCCCGAUUUUACACUCAGGUUCUACACUUAAUGAACAAAAUGAACAUUCCAGCUCCAUUUCGUAUGGCAUUGCCAACACCGCCAUUACCUCCAGCCGUGCCAACACCACCACCUCCCCCUCCUCCGGUACCUUUGAAGCCUCAGUCUGCAGAUCUGUCAAGUGGUGAAUCAGAGAUGGAAUCUUCAGAAGAGGAGGUAGAGCCAACAACAGAAAAGCCUAAGAAGCGUGCCAGGCGUGAGACAAUUAUUGGCCCUGCCAUUGAUAAAGAUGUAGCUCAUGAGGAUGUUGGAGUAAAACCAGCCACCUUAGUCCCAAAAGAAAUACCAUUAAUCAAGAAGAAGAACCCUGUUUUGCAGAUCAAUAUUGCUCCCAAAGAAAUUAAGGAUGAGCGUAAAAAUGAUGACAGAAGCCAAGAUUUACAGGAGCCAGAAAAAGAUAGUCCAGAUCCACAUAAAUUCUUGACUCCAGAAGAAUUAGAGAGUGGAAAAUUGCCUCCUGAAGAAAUAUUAUCUCUUCCAAUGUUUAAGAACUAUACCACUGGAAAUCCAGCUCCUGUGUUGUAUAUUAAGAAUUUGGCAAAAGAUGUGGUUGGUGAAGAUUUUUUUUUAAUAUUCGGGUGCUUGUUUGGAAGUAUUGAGACUGCCAAGUCUUGCCUUCAUGUAAAACUGAUGCAGUUCUGAGUUUCAGGAAGGAAGGAUGAGAGGUCAAGCAUUUUUAACAUUCCCAUCAAUUGAGCUGGCUCAUCAGGGACUGAAUCUAGUGAAUGGAUAUGUAUUUAAAGGCAAGCCAAUGAUAAUCCAGUUUGGUCGGAAUCCUGGUGCCACUAAAGGAACUUGAUUCUGUGGGCACAGGAGGGAUGCACCACUAGUUUUGUGAUCUCAGAUCUGAGAAUCGCAUGAAGUCGUUUACUCAUCUCCCCUUGUCUAAAUGUAAAAGAAUAGAUGGCUAAUGCUGCACCUUUAUGUCGACCGGGAGAUGACUCCGCUUUGAACUACAUAGCUCCAGGGAGAUGACUCCGCUUUGAACUACAUAGCUCCAGACGACAUUUUGGAAUGUUUGUGAUAUAGCAUUGAUCUUGAUGCUGCCAUUUACAUUUCCCAUGGAAGGGCGAUUCUGGGUUGUAAAAAGUUUACUUGUAUGAUGAAUGAUGUUAAGUUCCGCAAGAUAGGUUUGUAAUUUGGAUUAAGGUUACUAUAUUUAAGCACUGAUGGUAUUGCUUGUUGCUAUAGAAUCCAUUCUACAAAGGAUAAGCCAAGUAGAAUUGUUGUUUCUAUAAGCCAUCGUUAAUUCGUUACUGGUACAGGAGACAACUGAGGAAACACUCGAUAGAUUCUAGAUUCUGCACUUUGUGUGAGGAUCAUGUGGUUGGUUAAAUUUAGCAUACAAAACAUGAUGCUUAAAUUGUAGAUUUAGGGAUAUAGAGCUGCCUCUUUAAAUCUUUGCUUCUUAUAGAUGGAUAAAUGGACCCAUAACAUUGUGGGAAAAGCAGUGACCAGAAUAUAUUGAACCAAAAUUGGGGAAUAGUUUAGUCUUUGAUGAAUUCAGUUCUUCAUUUCCCCCUGAUAUCUUGUCUCCCUCUAAAUAGCAUUGAUUUCUUGAUGUUUUUUAUUGUUGAAAUGUUUAUAAUGUCACAUAUCACAA